RNAcentral lists this ribosomal RNA (433 nucleotides) under uncultured bacterium. RNAcentral describes it as "partial 16S ribosomal RNA". It matches the Rfam family "Bacterial small subunit ribosomal RNA", at positions 29 to 507 of the family's 1533-position model. The record is from RNAcentral.
AACGAACGCUGGCGGCAUGCCUAACACAUGCAAGUCGAACGAGACCUUCGGGUCUAGUGGCGCACGGGUGCGUAACGCGUGGGAACCUGCCUUUAGGUUCGGAAUAACUCAGAGAAAUUUGAGCUAAUACCGGAUGAUGUCUUCGGACCAAAGAUUUAUCGCCUUUAGAUGGGCCCGCGUUGGAUUAGCUAGUUGGUGGGGUAAAGGCCUACCAAGGCGACGAUCCAUAGCUGGUCUGAGAGGAUGAUCAGCCACACUGGGACUGAGACACGGCCCAGACUCCUACGGGAGGCAGAAGUGGGGAAUAUUGGACAAUGGGCGAAAGCCUGAUCCAGCAAUGCCGCGUGAGUGAUGAAGGCCUUAGGGUUGUAAAGCUCUUUUACCCGAGAUGAUAAUGACAGUAUCGGGAGAAUAAGCUCCGGCUAACUCCGUG